AAGGAGGAAGCACUUGCAGCACACCGUGGUUCCGGGCAGGGACGGCCGCGCAGCUGCACACUGGGCGACACAUCAGCCGACCUGGGGGGAGGUACUAGCCCGUUUGAGCAUUGGCUGCUCUCAGCACCAUCUUAGAAGGCUGAACCGGUCCAUACAGAGUUGUGGCUGAUCCGGAAUGCUCUGGGUCCUGAGCCACAGCGUUUGAAAGGAGGACUUCGCAUCCGAUGUUUGAUUUUUGGAUCCCAAAAAGCAAAGAAGAAAGAGUAACAUGUUGCUACUUUGGGAUAUGGGGGCAAAGGAUGAGACUCUCAAGGUGGAGGGAAUUGCCUUAGGAGCCUGUUCUAGAGGGGAUUAUCAGCCCUGGGAAGAUGUAUCUCUGGCUGAAUCAGCUUGAUGUGUUAUGGAAGAGAGCAUUCGACUUAUCUCCACUGGGCCAAGCCUGCCGUUCACCUGGCACUUCCACUGGCCCCCAGGGGAAGCACUCAGAGUUCCCCACAUUGGACACUUCAUCGGGUCCCCUGAUGCUUUGUCACUGGCCACUGUGGGCCUUUGCUUUUUCAGAUCACAGCACCAGGGGCCUCGUGGGCUGAUUCCAUGAGUUUCAGCCAGAAUUCUCAGGCUCUUUUCAACAUACGGUCAGUGCUUCAUGGAAAGACCUCUGAGGCAGUUUCUCGGUUGAGUGUCCCAGUGACAGUGAAGCCAUCUCAUAGUUCUUUCAGUCAUGAAGCUACACUGAAUUGUUUGGAUGGAAAAGGUGGUCAGACCUCUGUCCUACCACGGGGUGCCAGGCACCGGUUCCUCCCAGGCUCCUGCCAGGCCCCAAGGCAGGGUAUAAGCAACAGCAUUUGAGAAGAGAAACCUUUAGAGCGACAAGGGAACCUUAGAACCUCUAGCCUGUUCAUUUUGAGCUAGGGUUUUUUUGGAGGCCUAGGGAUAUUCAGAGCUUCUGGUGGGGUAGGAGCAGACUGUCCCGACCUUCAGAGCUCCACGUGCUGGUGCGAUUCUGGGCUAGCGCAGUGUGCUGUUUCUGGCCUUGAACCGGGAGUGUGGUGCUGGCAUGAAGAAGCCACCUACCUUGAAAACUUUGUGGGGAUUUGUGUGAAGGAUGAAGUGUUUUUGUUUCUAUCCUCUGCAUUUCCCGGAGUCCACAUUUGUCCUUUAUGUCACCUGUCAUUCCCUAGAUCUUAAAAGGAAACGGAGGAAGAGAGAGGCGCUCAGGGAAGGGUGAGCCGCGUGAGUGAGGGAGUGGGAGACAGCACGCGGGAAUCCUGACAGCUCAGCUGAGAGGACAAGUUCUGCAGUUUGGCCUUUGGUUCCUCACAAGACUCUAAAAACGGUGUAAACUGACUCUACUUGUCCAAGGGAAAUUGGGACUACCUUCAGUCCUUGCGUGCAUGUCUCCAGACUUUCCAGGGCUACAUAAAUAAUUAGAACCUUCAGACAGAAUCUAUGAAGGAACACUGGACAGGACUUCACUAUUCUUAGGGGCCAUGCAAACAGCAAAAUCUCCAAGAAAAACACAAAAAAUGCCGAGAUGUGUGCUGUAAACAGUAUGCAGUCCCGGGGCAGGAGCUGAAACACAAGCCUUGGUCUCAGCUUUGAACAUGGGCCUCGAGAGCUCAGACUUCUUGCCUCUCUGGGUGUAUCUUCAAGUGGCCCUGCAGCAAGUGCUGAAGUGUGGACUUCAGGUUACAAGUAAAUUCUGAGACAGCCAGCGAGAGAGGGAACACAAGCAAAGGGAAUGGGAGAGG
This is a long non-coding RNA of Ailuropoda melanoleuca (giant panda), 1751 nucleotides long. RefSeq lists it as uncharacterized. The record is from RefSeq and is a predicted model, not a curated record. The transcript has 4 exons. Lineage: Eukaryota; Metazoa; Chordata; Mammalia; Carnivora; Ursidae.